UUUCUCUCUAUAGAUGAAUGACCAGGAAAGGGGCAGCCUAGCAAGAUAGAAAUGUUUAGAUAAUAACUGCUCAACUCCAACCAAAUGC
Non-coding RNA from Ceratotherium simum simum (southern white rhinoceros), 88 nucleotides. The record is from RefSeq and is a predicted model, not a curated record. NCBI's taxonomy places the organism in Eukaryota, Metazoa, Chordata, Mammalia, Perissodactyla, Rhinocerotidae.